AUUGAACGCUGGCGGCAGGCCUAACACAUGCAAGUCGAACGGUAACAGGAAGAAGCUUGCUUCUUUGCUGACGAGUGGCGGACGGGUGAGUAAUGUCUGGGAAACUGCCUGAUGGAGGGGGAUAACUACUGGAAACGGUAGCUAAUACCGCAUAACGUCGCAAGACCAAAAAGGGGGACCUUCGGGCCUCUUGCCAUCGGAUGUGCCCAGAUGGGAUUAGCUAGUAGGUGGGGUAACGGCUCACCUAGGCGACGAUCCCUAGCUGGUCUGAGAGGAUGACCAGCCACACUGGAGCUGAGACACGGUCCAGACUCCUACGGGAGGCAGCAGUGGGGAAUAUUGCACAAUGGGCGCAAGCCUGAUGCAGCCAUGCCGCGUGUAUGAAGAAGGCCUUCGGGUUGUAAAGUCCUUUCAGCGGGGAGGAAGGGAGUAAAGUUAAUACCUUUGCUCAUUGACGUUACCCGCAGAAGAGGCACCGGCUAACUCCGUG
RNAcentral lists this ribosomal RNA (490 nucleotides) under uncultured bacterium. Its description in RNAcentral is "partial 16S ribosomal RNA". It matches the Rfam family "Bacterial small subunit ribosomal RNA", at positions 30 to 507 of the family's 1533-position model. The record is from RNAcentral.